RNAcentral lists this ribosomal RNA (381 nucleotides) under uncultured Acidobacteriota bacterium. RNAcentral describes it as "bacterial SSU rRNA". It matches the Rfam family "Bacterial small subunit ribosomal RNA", at positions 1018 to 1394 of the family's 1533-position model. Lineage: Bacteria; Pseudomonadati; Acidobacteriota. The record is from RNAcentral.
CUUAGUCGGUACUCGCGAUGCAUCUACAUUAUGGUUAGUCGUCAGCUCGUGUCGUGAGAUGUUGGGUUAAGUCCCGCAACGAGCGCAACCCUUACCCGUAGUUGCCAGCGCGUCAUGGCGGGAACUCUACGGGGACUGCCCGGGUUAACCGGGAGGAAGGUGGGGAUGAUGUCAAGUCCUCAUGGCCCUUAUGUCCAGGGCUACACACGUGCUACAAUGGGCGAUACAAACCGUUGCAAAGUCGCGAGAUGGAGCUAAUCGGAGAAAGUCGUCCUCAGUUCGGAUUGUAGUCUGCAACUCGACUACAUGAAGGUGGAAUCGCUAGUAAUCGUGUAUCAGAAUGAUACGGUGAAUACGUUCCCGGGCCUUGUACACACCGCA